GCCCCUUCCACAGCGCCAUGCACGCCGCUGCACGGCAGAGCGAGCAAACGCCUCCAGCCAGCGCCGGCUUUUGGUACGGGCACACAGAAAUCCAGCCCAGGAAUUCUGCAGCAUUUCAAGUGUGACACGCCAUCCCGGAGCCUGGAGCUGGGAAGUUUGCCCGCUUCUUUGCAGGCCCUGCAGAGCACAAAAAGCAGCAGGACUGCAGCAUCAACAACCAGCAAUUGAGAGAAGAGAUACAUCAUUAAACUUAUUUAUAGCAUUAACUACUUUGCAU
This is a long non-coding RNA of Melospiza melodia melodia, 277 nucleotides long. RefSeq lists it as uncharacterized. The record is from RefSeq and is a predicted model, not a curated record. The transcript is spliced from 3 exons. NCBI's taxonomy places the organism in Eukaryota, Metazoa, Chordata, Aves, Passeriformes, Passerellidae.